UACGUAGGGGGCUAGCGUUGUCCGGAUUUAUUGGGCGUAAAGAGCGUGUAGGCGGCCAGGUAGGUCUGCUGUGAAAACUCGAGGCUCAACCUCGAGAUGUCGGCGGAAACCAUCUGGCUAGAGUCCGGAAGAGGAGAGUGGAAUUCCUGGUGUAGCGGUGAAAUGCGCAGAUAUCGGGAGGAACACCUGUGGCGAAAGCGGCGCACUGGACCACAACUGACGCUGAGGCGCGAAAGCUAGGGGAGCAAACAGG
Molecule: ribosomal RNA, 253 nt
Filed under: uncultured bacterium
Lineage: Bacteria
Description: partial 16S ribosomal RNA
Rfam family: Bacterial small subunit ribosomal RNA
Source: RNAcentral